GGUCGGGUGGCGCAAUUGGUAGCGCGUUACUUUCCGGUUGAAAAACAUUCUGGAACUCUAGGGAUCCUGGUGAAACAUCCUCAGUUGGUAAAGGUUCUGGGUUCGAGUCCCAGCUCGAUCG
Non-coding RNA from Apodospora peruviana, 121 nucleotides. NCBI's taxonomy places the organism in Eukaryota, Fungi, Ascomycota, Sordariomycetes, Sordariales, Lasiosphaeriaceae. The record is from the annotation of a GenBank genome assembly.